Molecule: ribosomal RNA, 305 nt
Filed under: uncultured bacterium
Lineage: Bacteria
Description: bacterial SSU rRNA
Rfam family: Bacterial small subunit ribosomal RNA
Source: RNAcentral
GUUCCCUACGGGACGCAGCAGUGAGGAAUAUUGGUCAAUGGGCGAGAGCCUGAACCAGCCAAGUCGCAUGAGGGAAGACGGUCCUAUGGAUUGUAAACCUCUUUUGCCGGGGAGCAAAAAGCGGUACGUGUACCGCAUCGAGAGUACCCGGAGAAAAAGCAUCGGCUAACUCCGUGCCAGCAGCCGCGGUAAUACGGAGGAUGCGAGCGUUAUCCGGAUUUAUUGGGGUUAAAGGGUGCGCAGGCGGCGAGUUAAGUCAGCGGUAAAAUUUCGGGGCUCAACCCCGACGAGCCGUUGAAAGUGGG